This 395-nucleotide ribosomal RNA is filed under the name Sula sula (red-footed booby). RNAcentral describes it as "partial 12S small subunit ribosomal RNA". It matches the Rfam family "Bacterial small subunit ribosomal RNA", at positions 794 to 1384 of the family's 1533-position model. Lineage: Eukaryota; Metazoa; Chordata; Aves; Suliformes; Sulidae. The record is from RNAcentral.
GCCUAGCCCUAAAUCUUGGCACUUACACUACUAAAGUGCCCGCCCGAGAACUACGAGCACAAACGCUUAAAACUCUAAGGACUUGGCGGUGUCCCAAACCCACCUAGAGGAGCCUGUUCUAUAAUCGAUAACCCACGAUACACCCAACCGUCCCUUGCCAGAGCAGCCUACAUACCGCCGUCGUCAGCUCACCUCCCUUGAAAGAGCAACAGUGAGCAUAAUAGUUUCCCCCACUAGUAAGACAGGUCAAGGUAUAGCUUAUGGGRCGGAAGAAAUGGGCUACAUUUUCUAAACUAGAAGACUUCACGGAAAGGGGUGUGCAAGCCCCCCUAGAAGGCGGAUUUAGUAGUAAAGCGGGACCAUAGAGCCCCCUUUAAACCGGCCCUGGGAUACGU